UGGCGAACGGGUGAGUAAUACAUCGGAACGUGUCCGCUCGUGGGGGACGAACCAGCCGAAAGGUUGGCUAAUACCGCAUGAGUUCUACGGAAGAAAGAGGGGGACCGCAAGGGCCUCUCGCGAGCGGAGCGGCCGAUGACUGAUUAGCCGGUUGGUGAGGUAACGGCUCACCAAAGCAACGAUCAGUAGCUGGUCUGAGAGGACGACCAGCCACACUGGGACUGAGACACGGCCCAGACUCCUACGGGAGGCAGCAG
RNAcentral lists this ribosomal RNA (257 nucleotides) under uncultured bacterium. RNAcentral's name for it is "partial 16S ribosomal RNA". It matches the Rfam family "Bacterial small subunit ribosomal RNA", at positions 96 to 354 of the family's 1533-position model. The record is from RNAcentral.